GACGAACGCUGGCGGCGUGCCUAACACAUGCAAGUCGAGCGAAUGAAGUUCCUUCGGGAACGGAUUUAGCGGCGGACGGGUGAGUAACACGUGGGCAACCUGCCUCAUAGAGGGGAAUAGCCUUCCGAAAGGGAGAUUAAUACCGCAUAAGAUUGUAGUACCGCAUGGUACAGCAAUUAAAGGAGCAAUCCGCUAUGAGAUGGGCCGGCGGCGCAUUAGCUAGUUGGUGAGGUAACGGCUCACCAAGGCGACGAUGCGUAGCCGACCUGAGAGGGUGAUCGGCCACAUUGGGACUGAGACACGGCCCAGACUCCUACGGGAGGCAGCAGUGGGGAAUAUUGCACAAUGGGGGAAACCCUGAUGCAGCAACGCCGCGUGAGUGAUGACGGCCUUCGGGUUGUAAAGCUCUGUAUUCAGGGACGAUAAUGACGGUACCUGAGGAGGAAGCCACGGCUAACUACGUG
Molecule: ribosomal RNA, 464 nt
Filed under: uncultured bacterium
Lineage: Bacteria
Description: partial 16S ribosomal RNA
Rfam family: Bacterial small subunit ribosomal RNA
Source: RNAcentral